Molecule: ribosomal RNA, 301 nt
Filed under: uncultured bacterium
Lineage: Bacteria
Description: partial 16S ribosomal RNA
Rfam family: Bacterial small subunit ribosomal RNA
Source: RNAcentral
CAGUAGCCGCGGGAAUACGAAGGGUGCAAGCGUUAAUCGGAAUUACUGGGCGUAAAGCGUGCGUAGGCGGUUUGUUAAGUCUGCUGUGAAAUCCCCGGGCUCAACCUGGGAAUGGCAGUGGAUACUGGCAAGCUAGAGUGUGUCAGAGGAUGGUGGAAUUCCCGGUGUAGCGGUGAAAUGCGUAGAGAUCGGGAGGAACAUCAGUGGCGAAGGCGGCCAUCUGGGUCAACACUGACGCUGAGGCACGAAAGCGUGGGGAGCAAACAGGAUUAGAUACCCCCGUAGUCCCUGUCUCUUAUAC